Molecule: ribosomal RNA, 488 nt
Filed under: uncultured bacterium
Lineage: Bacteria
Description: partial 16S ribosomal RNA
Rfam family: Bacterial small subunit ribosomal RNA
Source: RNAcentral
GACGAACGCUGGCGGCGUGCUUAACACAUGCAAGUCGAACGCGCCUGUCCUCUGGGUUUCUGGGGGGUGGGUGAGUGGCGAACGGGUGAGUAACACGUGAGUAACCUGCCCCCUUCUUCGGGAUAACGGUCUGAAAGGGCUGCUAAUACCGGGUAUUCACUGCUCUCCGCAUGGGGUCUGGUGGAAAGGUUUUUUUCUGGUGGGGGAUGGGCUCGCGGCCUAUCAGCUUGUUGGUGGGGUGAUGGCCCACCAAGGCUUUGACGGGUAGCCGGCCUGAGAGGGUGACCGGUCACAUUGGGACUGAGAUACGGCCCAGACUCCUACGGGAGGCAGCAGUGGGGAAUAUUGCACAAUGGGCGCAAGCCUGAUGCAGCGACGCCGCGUGAGGGAUGGAGGCCUUCGGGUUGUGAACCUCUUUCGCCCGUGGUCAAGCCGCGACGUGGGUCGUGGUGAGGGUAGUGGGUAAAGAAGCGCCGGCUAACUACGUG